RNAcentral lists this ribosomal RNA (497 nucleotides) under uncultured bacterium. RNAcentral's name for it is "partial 16S ribosomal RNA". It matches the Rfam family "Bacterial small subunit ribosomal RNA", at positions 28 to 507 of the family's 1533-position model. The record is from RNAcentral.
GAUGAACGCUGGCGGCGUGCCUAAUACAUGCAAGUCGAGCGAACAGACGAGGAGCUUGCUCCUCUGACGUUAGCGGCGGACGGGUGAGUAACACGUGGAUAACCUACCUAUAAGACUGGGAUAACUUCGGGAAACCGGAUCUAAUACCGGAUAACAUGUUGAACCGCAUGGUUCAACAGUGAAAGACGGUUUUGCUGUCACUUAUAGAUGGAUCCGCGUCGCAUUAGCUAGUUGGUAAGGUAACGGCUUACCAAGGCAACGAUGCGUAGCCGACCUGAGAGGGUGAUCGGCCACACUGGAACUGAGACACGGUCCAGACUCCUACGGGAGGCAGCAGUAGGGAAUCUUCCGCAAUGGGCGAAAGCCUGACGGAGCAACGCCGCGUGAGUGAAGAAGGUCUUCGGAUCGUAAAACUCUGUUAUUAGGGAAGAACAAAUGUGUAAGUAACUAUGCACGUCUUGACGGUACCUAAUCAGAAAGCCACGGCUAACUACGUG